Phrynosoma platyrhinos (Desert horned lizard) is the source of this 72-nucleotide non-coding RNA. Lineage: Eukaryota; Metazoa; Chordata; Lepidosauria; Squamata; Phrynosomatidae. The record is from the annotation of a GenBank genome assembly.
GCCAGUGUGGCAUAUUGGUUUGAGUGUUGGACUAUGACUCUGGAGACUGGGGUUCAAGUCCCUGCUGAGUUA